GAUCAUGGCUCAGGACGAACGCUGGCGGCGUGCCUAAUACAUGCAAGUCGAGCGGACCUUUCGGGGUCAGCGGCGGACGGGUGAGUAACACGUGGGCAAUCUGCCCGAUACUCUGGGAUAACGCUUGGAAACGAGUGCUAAUACCGGAUGGUCUUCUUGGCCGCAUGGCCGAAAAGGAAAAGACGCGUUCGCGUCGGUGUCGGAUGAGCCCGCGGCGCAUUAGCUAGUUGGUGAGGUAACGGCCCACCAAGG
RNAcentral lists this ribosomal RNA (252 nucleotides) under uncultured bacterium. RNAcentral describes it as "partial 16S ribosomal RNA". It matches the Rfam family "Bacterial small subunit ribosomal RNA", at positions 15 to 273 of the family's 1533-position model. The record is from RNAcentral.